This 315-nucleotide long non-coding RNA is filed under the name Sorghum bicolor (sorghum). RNAcentral's name for it is "long non-coding RNA (SBIC_LNC000022)". Lineage: Eukaryota; Viridiplantae; Streptophyta; Magnoliopsida; Poales; Poaceae. The record is from RNAcentral.
UGACUGCUGGUGUUUUGUGCAACCCUGAAAACCUGAAACUCUCUUAUGCUUAUGCGUGCAAUGCAAACAUGCAACGCGCCAUUGUGCAGUGUGUUUUCAGCGCCAUCUUGCGGCUCCGAUCGGAGCAGCACAGUAAUUGUAUCUGAGUACACUUCCACUGGCCAUAGUUUCGUGGCACACCGAAACAGGCAAUCUACUAGUACUAGCUUUGCUGUUGUUUGCCUAGGCAUCAACAAAGGCCCACAAAUGUUCCCCCUGUCGCCAAUCAGAUGUCCACUCCGUCUAAGACAUGCCUGCCAAUAAUGUUAACAGGCG